GAUGAACUAGGAAAGGCUCAAGAUC
RNAcentral lists this non-coding RNA (25 nucleotides) under Cricetulus griseus (Chinese hamster). Lineage: Eukaryota; Metazoa; Chordata; Mammalia; Rodentia; Cricetidae. The record is from RNAcentral.